UGUCAGCUGCAUUCUCUGCACAAAGAGUAUAUCCUGCUUCUGUUUUAAGUGUCCUAUGGGAAAUCUGAUACUGCUUGCAGAACAUGAUCGGUUAAUGCAUCCCCAACACUACUGAUAUCUUAGAAACUGUAAGCAAAACAAAAAAUAACCAUAAUGAUGCCUAGAUAAGAUGUGUGCAUGUAAAAUUCCAUUCUGCACCAAAAAGAUUGUACCAUUUUUUCCAAUUAUGUCCUUCUCAACUAAGGCUAAAUCAUAAUAUGAGCCGUUAGAAAUAUCUAAAAAAUUUGGGAGAGAAUUGAUAUCCUUCUAGUAGAAUAAGCCAUAUCCUCUUCAUUUGACACCAAGACAAAUUCUAGGCACCUAAAUUGGAAAAUUAACAUUAUGAAAUUUCAUAACUAUAGGAGAAAGAGGCUAGAUAACGUUCUUGACAUCUAAAGUGAAAGAAAAUCUUAAAUUAACAGAUUGCAGUUCCAAAAAUAAGAUAUGCUUGCUUUAGUAGUUUAGAGAGCCUUGUUUCAUGUUUCCCAUAAAUAAUACCGAGGAAAUAUACCAUUUUCAAUGCUCCAGUAUUAAAACUUAGAAAUUAAGGUAAAUUUUUAGUUUAAUCAAGUUAAAGUGCACAGUUGGGAAGACAAAACCAUAAUUUGCAAUUUUAUAGUACAUGAGAGUUCUUUGAGGGAGUCAACUACUUAUCAUAGCUAGAAUUAUUUCACUUGAAUCCUUUUUACUUUUAUGAGGCAAACAGAGUAGAACAACAUUGAAACAUGAUUAAUAAGAAAGUGCAAUACUUGCCUCUUUUUUUUACUGUUAUGAGGCAAACAAAGUAGAAAAAUAAAAUGCUUACACUAAGAUGCAGCACGGAGUUAUCCAUAUAGCAGUCAUGAAAAUUAAGAUAACUGAUAUAAUAUGUUAAUAAUGCAUUCUUGCUAUUCAUAGUGGCAGCCACAUAAGCAAGUAGGGUGAAAAAGAUAACCAAAUGAACAGCUCAGUUCAAGAUGCAUAUCUAUAUCGUACCUCUAGGUGAGCCUACAAUAGUGCUAUUAUCUCCACUCUAAUUAAAAAGGUAAAACAUAAAGCAAAAAAUAAACAAAAAAUACAAAUGCAAAUAUAGAAUAACAAAACAAUAAUAAUCAAAGUAUGAAUUUAAGAUAAAGACCAUGAAGCUAAUAGCUAUUUCAGUGCUAGCAACAGUUGUCAUAGUCAUACAUUGGUAUAUUCCUUGUCCCUUUUGUUUAGCUUCUAACAGCAUUUAUUUUAGUUAUAUAUUUUUUUACAAGUUAGCUUCUACUACUGUUACUCACGGCAUAUCACCAAAAUUCCCAAAAAUCUCAAAUGUCCAAUGUUCAAUCACUAAAUAAACUAUCAAAAAUUAAGGUCCCUUUGAAUGUGCAGAUACUAAUGAAUUACUGAUGAUUUUUUGUGUGCUCGCACAACUAUUUUCCUUUGACCCAUAUAUUCAUUCUUUUAGGCUUUUUUUAGAAUGAAAGAUUCAUCUGACAUGCAAAAUUUAUUUAACAAAGAAGAUCUUCAAUUAGUGAAGAUCCACAAAACAUAAAACAAACUAAAUGGAGCAGUUUUGCAUAAAGUUUAAAACAAAUCAAGCAAAAAUACAAGUGUGGAAUUCAACCAAAAAAUUAAAACAUACACAAAAUAAUACAACUCCAAUGAUCGUAAAAGAGAUGCAAAGAAAAUACAGAAGAGACUACUACACAAAAAAGUUAAGAAAAGCGACAAUGGAAAGAAGGCAACAUCACCAACCAGGUAAUGAAGAAGGAAAAAAGAAGAAGAAGAGAAAACUAAAAGAAAUAUAAAAUACGCAUAACAAAUAAAGGGGGAAAAAGAAGCAAAACUCCACUGCAACAAGCAACAAAAAAUGAAAAACAAAUUAAAAAGAGAGUAAAUACUAACCUGAACAUUGUGAGACCCAACAAAGAAGACAACGAAGAUGCUAGAGAUGGGGAACUGAAGUGAGGGAAAAUUCUAGAUGAAGAAGAAAAAUAAAGAAUUUGAGAGUUCGAUGAGUGGCCACGUCUAUUAUAAGUUAUGAAAAGUCAAAAAUGCCCUCAGAUGGUCGACCAUCUUCGCUUUUUUAUAUAAUAAUAAUAAUAAAUAAUAAUAAUAAAAAUAAAAGAAUACAAGGAAUAGGCUUUUUGUCCUCUUUUUU
RNAcentral lists this long non-coding RNA (2164 nucleotides) under Nicotiana tabacum (common tobacco). Its description in RNAcentral is "long non-coding RNA (NTAB_LNC009019)". The record is from RNAcentral. Lineage: Eukaryota; Viridiplantae; Streptophyta; Magnoliopsida; Solanales; Solanaceae.